RNAcentral lists this long non-coding RNA (604 nucleotides) under Mytilus galloprovincialis (Mediterranean mussel). The record is from RNAcentral. Lineage: Eukaryota; Metazoa; Mollusca; Bivalvia; Mytilida; Mytilidae.
CUUGUCUCAUUUACAUCGUCUCAUGUAUCUUUUAUCUUGUCUUGUUUACAUUGUAUUGUUUCAUGUCUCUUGUGUCUUGUCUCAAUAAAAUUGUAUCUUGACUUUUGUAUCUUGUAUCUUGUCUCAUUUACACUUUCUUUUGUAUCUUGUCUCAAUAACAUUGUCUCUUGUAUCUUGUAUCUUGUAUCUUGUCUCGUUUGCAUUGUAUUGUUUCAUGUCUCUUGUUUCUUGUCUCGUUAAAAUUGUAUCUUGACUUUUGUAUAUUGUAUCUUGUCUCAUUUACAUUUUCUUUUGUAUCUUGUCUCACUAACAUUGUCUCUUGUAUCUAGUCUUGUUUUCAUUGUUUUUUGUCUCUUGUAUAUUGUCUCUUGUUUUCAUUGUCUUUCCCUUGUCUUUUGUUUCUCGUCUCAUGUAUAUUUUCUUGUUUCUUGUCUCGUUAACAUUGUCCUGUCUCAUUUAUGUUUUCUUCUGUCUCUUGUCCUUUGUGUGAUGUACAUUGCCUCGUGUACAGUUAACAUUGUCCUGUCUUUUUAUUCAUUAUAUUUUGUUGCUUGUCCUUUGUCUCAUGUCUCAAUUACAUUGUUUGUUUUCUCUUUCUUCGUUU